AUUGAACGCUGGCGGCAGGCCUAACACAUGCAAGUCGGACGGUAGCACAGAGGAGCUUGCUCCUCGGGUGACGAGUGGCGGACGGGUGAGUAAUGUCUGGGGAUCUGCCCGAUAGAGGGGGAUAACCACUGGAAACGGUGGCUAAUACCGCAUAACGUCGCAAGACCAAAGAGGGGGACCUUCGGGCCUCUCACUAUCGGAUGAACCCAGAUGGGAUUAGCUAGUAGGCGGGGUAACGGCCCACCUAGGCGACGAUCCCUAGCUGGUCUGAGAGGAUGACCAGCCACACUGGAACUGAGACACGGUCCAGACUCCUACGGGAGGCAGCAGUGGGGAAUAUUGCACAAUGGGCGCAAGCCUGAUGCAGCCAUGCCGCGUGUAUGAAGAAGGCCUUCGGGUUGUAAAGUACUUUCAGCGGGGAGGAAGGCGAUGUGGUUAAUAACCGCAUUGAUUGACGUUACCCGCAGAAGAAGCACCGGCUAACUCCGUGCCAGCAGCCGCCGCGG
RNAcentral lists this ribosomal RNA (506 nucleotides) under uncultured bacterium. Its description in RNAcentral is "partial 16S ribosomal RNA". It matches the Rfam family "Bacterial small subunit ribosomal RNA", at positions 29 to 523 of the family's 1533-position model. The record is from RNAcentral.